GUCUGAUUUGACUGGGGUAGAUCAGUUGGUAGAGCAUGAGACUUUUAAUCUCAGGGUUGUGGGUUCGAGGCCAACAUUGGGCA
Molecule: non-coding RNA, 83 nt
Organism: Podarcis lilfordi (Lilford's wall lizard)
Lineage: Eukaryota; Metazoa; Chordata; Lepidosauria; Squamata; Lacertidae
Source: the annotation of a GenBank genome assembly